CUACGGGUGGCAGCAGUGGGGAAUAUUGCACAAUGGAGGAAACUCUGAUGCAGCAACGCCGCGUGGAGGAUGACACUUUUCGGAGCGUAAACUCCUUUUAUAUAGGAAGAAGAUGACGGUACUAUAUGAAUAAGCGCCGGCUAACUCCGUGCCAGCAGCCGCGGUAAUACGGAGGGCGCAAGCGUUACUCGGAAUCACUGGGCGUAAAGAGCGUGUAGGCGGAUUAAAAAGUCAGAAGUGAAAUCCUAUAGCUUAACUAUAGAACUGCUUCUGAAACUCUUAAUCUAGAAUAUGGGAGAGGUAGAUGGAAUUUCUGGUGUAGGGGUAAAAUCCGUAGAGAUCAGAAGGAAUACCGAUUGCGAAGGCGAUCUACUAGAACAUUACUGACGCUAAGGCGUGAAAGCGUGGGGAGCAAACAGGAUUAGAUACCCUAGUAGUC
RNAcentral lists this ribosomal RNA (439 nucleotides) under uncultured bacterium. RNAcentral's name for it is "partial 16S ribosomal RNA". It matches the Rfam family "Bacterial small subunit ribosomal RNA", at positions 339 to 795 of the family's 1533-position model. The record is from RNAcentral.